Non-coding RNA from Equus caballus (horse), 1869 nucleotides. The record is from RefSeq and is a predicted model, not a curated record. Lineage: Eukaryota; Metazoa; Chordata; Mammalia; Perissodactyla; Equidae.
AUUACAUCCGUGUAAGCUGACACUCAGAAGGGUGAAGGGUCUUGCUAGGGUCACACAGCCGAUAAACAGCAGCACCAGGAUUCAAACCUAGGAGCCUCUAACUCCAGAGCCUUCGCCCCAUCCCAUAGGGCCUCCCUAAAGCCCUACUGCACAGCCCUUUCUAUGGGGACACAGGUUCUUCCCUGCGACUUAAAUAGGCUACCCUCCUGCUCACUUCAUUCAUUCACUCCCACAGUCAUCAGGUGAGGCUCCCACUUUGAGCCAUGGCCUGCGUAAGAGGAAGGGACCUCCUCGAAGGCAGGGACUACAUCAUUUCUGUUCACUGUGAUAUCCCCAGCACCUGGUACGUUACCCAGCACGUAACUGGUGCUCGGUGAAUACUUGUUGAAUGAAUGAAUCAGUGCAAGGAUGGAGGGGGCCCCUCCCUGUAUACCAUCUGAAGGGGAUGUGGAGGCGUUGGAAAGAAGCAAUAGCUGAUUCCGUGUGCAUGGUCCUGGAGCCAUGGGGUAGGGUGGGUGGCAAUGUUGUUUGUGGUAGUGGUUAAUGUUUAAUACCCAUCUGAGCCACCAGGCCAGGCCUGAAUUUCCACAUGGGACACAGAGAUUCUUUAUUCCCCUCAGAGUAGCAGACUUUGGAGUCAGAGGAGCUCAGGGUUCACAUUCCAGCUCUGUGGGCUUACGGGUUAAUCUCCCGGAGCCUGUUUCCUUCUCUGCAAGGUGGGGAUAUAGCGACCACCUUGCAGGCUUGUAAGGGUUAGACGGGUAACAUUAGGCAUGUUCCUUCCAUGUGUUAGCACUCGCUCAAGGUUACUUCUCCAGCUCAAAGCUGUUUAAGACUCAGGUGACUCAUGAAAUUGGACAGAACCUCAAAAGACAAAGAGAUAACACGAACAUCAAGGAGAACCCAGAAGGGGCACUAUCAAAGGGGAGGCAGGGGCCCCAGUGGCCUCACAGCUGAGCAGCAGCGGGGGUGAGUGGCUCACACCUGUCCCAGGGUGCUGGGGGUGACCAGUUAGAUGCACAUGUGGGAGUCUCUGCUCCUUUAACUACCUGCUGCCAAGCGGAAGGAGAAGGCUAGGCACCGGGACCGGGCACUCCCAUCCAACCCUUUGUGCCAAUUCUCAUCUGCCCUGGGGUGGUCGUGGGAAGGAGAGGGGUGGGGAGGGGCAUGGCUUACCAGCCACCUCCACACCAUGUUCCCCACCAUCCUGAAAGAGAAUCCCCCUUAACUUAGCAAAAAUAAGUGUGAACUUUUGCUCAAGUGAGCUUUUCUAUUAAACCAACAAAACAAGGGCAGGCCCAGUGGCAUAGCGGUUAAGUUCGCAUGCUUGCUUUGGGCGCCCAGGGUUCACCAGUUCAAAUCCUGGGCGUGGAUCUGCACACUGCUCAAAAGCCAUGCUGACGUGGCGUCCCACAUAGAAGAACUAGAAGGACCUACAACUAGAAUAUACAACUAUGUACUGGGGCUGCGGGGAGAAAAAGAAAAAGAGGAAGGUUGGUAACAGAUGUUAGCUCAGGGCCAACCUUCCUCACCAAAAAGCAUAUAAAAAACCCCACAAACCAACAAAACAAAGGAAAGUUGCUUAGGAACAGAUUCAUGCUGACUCAGAUUCCUGUCUCCACCUCGCCAGGCCAGCACUCAUUGCUGGUCACCAAACCCAUCCUGGCUCUUUCCUCCAAGACUCUCUGCAAGGCCGGCACCCUAUCAACAAGCUGCCUGACCUGGAUUCCUGGCUUUCUCCCCCAGCCAUCUGCCAGCAUGGACAUGAGGACUGCUGAUGCCUCCCGUUCCGGCCUCUCCCUCCAGCUCCCUUCCUCAUCCCACCUCCGGCUUCCCAGUCCUCCAAGAAUCAAAAGCCCUUGGAUUUAA